Long non-coding RNA from Hypanus sabinus (Atlantic stingray), 4983 nucleotides. RefSeq lists it as uncharacterized. Lineage: Eukaryota; Metazoa; Chordata; Chondrichthyes; Myliobatiformes; Dasyatidae. The transcript is spliced from 3 exons. The record is from RefSeq and is a predicted model, not a curated record.
AAUAAAGAAAUACUACAGAAUCUAUGGAAAAACUAUACAAAAACAAAGCCUGAUAAACAACCAAUGUGCAAAAGAAGGCAGAUUGUGCAAAUCAAAUAUUAAAUAGUACUCAGCUGAUGAGUUGUAGAUUCCUUGAAAGUGAGUCUGUAGGUUGUGGAAUCAGUUCAGAGUUGAUGUGAGUGAAGUUAUCCACGCCGGUCAGGAGUCUGAUGGUUGUGGGAUGAUAAAUGUUCCUGAAGCUGGUGGUGUGGGAUGUCCUGCUGGGAAUAUUACCACUGAUCAGGGUGAAUAUAACUAGAGGACAUCGAUUUAUGGUCAGUGGUCAGAGAUUCGGGAUCAGAAUCAAGAUUAUUAUCACUAAUGUAUCUCGUGAAAUUUGUUGUUUUUGACAACAGUACAGUGCAAGACAAAAGUAUUUCUGUACGUUCCAAUCAAAAAUAAAUUAAAUAAACAGUGCAAAAAGAGGAAUAUUGAGGUCGUAUUCAUGAGUUCAUGGAUCGUUCAGAAAUCUGACGGUGCCCCCUAAGAACAUGGUAGCCCCUAACUAGACCGACUUUGAAAAAAAAACCUUGCUAACUAAACGUGCCAAAACGUCUUGGAUGUGUGAGUCCAGGUAACAAUUGGGCAUUGAAAAGGCAUCGGUUAUCACCACAUGGGCUUAGGGACCGUGUGGAGGGGCAAAGCCCAGGGCUAUUCGACUGGAAUACGAUGCCAAGUCUUUCCAUGUUGACAAACUCAUCUUCGCAGUUGCCAGCUUCUCUGGAUCCGGUCUCUGCGUGUGGACAUGGACUGGUCGGCCGGUUGUGGAAAUGUGGUGCUCGACCCCAUGUAUUAUGACUGUCGUGGAGAAUGUGGGCUUGGUGAAGUUUGAGAAUUCGACCAGAGGUCAAGUGAACUCACAUGUGGUGGUGUGUUGGCUUGACAGAGUCAUUGUGGGAAACCUACUGGGGGAGCAGGGAAAGGACCCAAAGUCCUUGACAUCCAUGUGCCAGCAGUUUUAAAGAUCGAUUUACAGUCCCUGAACAGACAGUAAAUCAGCACUGAGCAGUGGUCUAGUCAGAACGAUGUCCCUUGUGUAGCAUUACACACUGUAGCAGAGCAUCACCUGUCGUGUCCCGUAUUCUCAAUCCUGGUGUCGUUGGCGGCCCCCAGCAAGCUGUCCUCAGUCUUUGACUACACAUCAACAGGCGGUACUGACGACACACUCAUUUGAGCACCCGUGUCACACAAGCAUCGCUCUGAAAGGGUGUCCGUAAUGUUCAGUAGAUGAACCUGGCAUCUACAACCCACAAGUGUGAACAGACCUCUGAUGUCCCAAAGCACUGGCACUGUCGAAGCUGCAAGGCAGUCGGCACUUCCUAGUGUCACACCAAAGUGACCGUGGUAAUAACACAGAGCCGGCAGUGUCUGUUUCACAGCAUUGGUUAGCAGUCUGUUUUGCAUGCUGAUGUUGGAAGCCUUGCUGACCAGGCUUAUUGAAGCAGGGAAAAUAAGAGGGUUCAUGCACCACUGCCUGGCUAAAUGUAGACGAUCAGCUAUUUUAACAAACUCCCUAAAGACAUUCUGGGAUUUAUUAGUGAAGGAUAUGCAGACUUGAUUUGGCAUUUGCUGCAUGAAGAGUUCUUUAAACAUAAAACAAGGAAGGAGAUUUCCAAGGAGGGACAAUGUGGUCCCUUAACUUCAAAGGCUUAACGUCAUCAUGACCAGGCAGAAAGCAACUGUUUAAAACAAUCAGACUCCGCUAGAUCAACAGACUGAUCGAAAGGUCAGUUUUCAGUGAUCUCAUGUUUCCUGUAUAUCAGUUUCUAGUAAACUCCCCACUUUCACAGCUGUGGAGUUUCUGAGCAACAUACCACAUAGUAGAAUCCGGUGUAGUCCACAGUGAUUUCUCAUAAUGCAAAUUAGGCCUUCGCUUGUCGUGACGACAUUUUGCUCUCAAAACUCUGGUUUUGAAGAACAUGCCAUAAGAGCUCAUUUAUUGAAAUCCAAGAGAUCCCAACACAAUGUACGGUAAAAGUACUUUAUGCAAUUAUAAUAAUCACAUCAGACCCGUCUCCUAAAGUGAACCUAAAUGAGAGUCGGUGGCUGUGAAUGUUGUAUGUUUCCACAUUACUCUGCAUGAGAAAGGAGGAGGGGGAAUUUAGGGAGAGAGGUGUGGACUGUAUUCUAGGAGAGAGUAAUGUUAAUGUCAAUAAAGUAUGUCUGACUGUCUGUCUAAUGUUGGGGAUGAGAGGUUUGAUCUGUUGGAUCUGUGAUGUUUAUUGGAUUCUCACAGACUGUUACCUCCCAGCCAGGUUCAUCCUUAACAGAUUUUUGCUAUCCUCUUUAUUUUAAUCUCUCACCUAACCCCACCCACCCUGUCUCUCUCCUCACAGAUCCCCAUUUGGACAACACUCAGGAACCCCAGGGAACAGUGACAGGAGAACCUGGUCCAGGUUUGACCACCACCCUGGAACGAUCUACAAGCUCAGGAGUUCGCGUGUGGAUUAACGUGCAGCUGACAUCGAGUGGAAACGUGAGUGAGGAUGAAGUGUGGAAAGCCAUUCGACGAAAGCUCCAGGAGAUGUUCGGUGAUCCAAAUCUUCAGAUCAAGCUUGCACGGUUCAGGGCAGAACCUUCAGAGGAGUGAAGGAGUGAUCUGUCAACGAGUGAAGGAGUCUGCAGUUCCAUCUCCCUGACGCUUUACACACUCUCCCUGACUCCAGCACUGCCUUUAGACAAGUAUACGGCUCACAGAGGGUUAAUCCCAGGAGAGCCUGAGAUGUUGCUACACUUUGCUGAUUCCCCAGUGUGCCGCAGUCUGCGAGCUUUUAGUUGCUCACAUUGUGAAGUACGAUCCCAUUGAGUAGUGACGCCAGAAGCCCAGAACUGAGAGUGAGCACACAGACCCGGCCUGUUCCAGGAGGAGCAGAUCCUCCGAAUGAUGAGGAUCAAUCACAGAACAUCCCGGGUACGGUCCCCGUAAACACCGACACCCCUCACUACAGGACCGGGUCGGUGUGAGACGUCACACACCUUCCACAGUGUACGGUCCGUAAACACCGACACCCCUCACUACAGGACCGGGUCGGUGUGAGACGUCACACACCUUCCACAGUGUACGGUCCGUAAACACCGACACCCCUCACUACAGGACCGGGUCAGUGUGAGACGUCACACACCUUCCAAAAUGUAUGGCCUUCUAAAAAUCCAAAUACACAACGUCCACUGGUUCUCCUUUGUGUAGCCUACUUGUCAUUUCCUCAAAAAAAUGCACUGAGUUUGUCAGGCAGGAUUUUCCUUAAAGGAAACCAUGAUGAGCUGUCAUAUGCCUUCAGGUAAUCCAUAACCUCUUACGUGACAAUCGACUCCAACAACUGCCCAACCACAGAUGUCAAGCUAAAAAGUCUAUAAUUUCCUUUUUUGCUUCCUUGCCCCCUUCUUAAAUAGCGGAGUGACAUUUGCAAUAUUCCAGUCCUCCGGACCCAGGCCAGAAUCUAUCGACUUUUGAAAGAUAAUUGCUAACGCCUCCGCAUCUCUACUGCUACAUCCGUCUGAACAUGAGGGUUGAUUCCAUCUGGUCCAGGAGAUCUAUCUACCCUUAGACUAUUCAGCUGCCUGAGCACUUUCUCUGUCGUAAUUGUGACUGCGUAUAUUUCUCUUCCCUGACACCCUUGAAUGUCUGGUAUGUUGCUGAUGCCUUUCUCAGUGAAGACUGAUGCAAAAUCCUCGUUCAGUUCCUCCGCCAUCUCCGUAUCUCCCAAUACAAUUUCUCCAGAAUCAUUUUCUAUCAGUCCUAUAUCUACUCUCCCCUGUCUUUUACUCUUAAUAUACUUGAAAAUGCUUUUAGUAUGCUCUUUGAUAUUAUUUGGAAGCUUCCUUUAAUAGUACAUCUUUUUCCUCUUAAAGACUUUCUUAGUUUCCUUUUGUAAGCUUUUGAAAACUUUCCAAUCCUCUGUCUUCCCACUAAUUUUUGCUUCCCUGUACGCCCUCUGUUUUGCUUUUACUUUGGUUUUGACUUCUCUUGUCAGACACAGUCGCAUCCUUUUUCCAUUCAAAAAUUUAUUCUUCUUUAGAAUAUAUCUGUCUUGCACCUUCCUCCCUUCUCGCAUAAAAACCAGCCUCUGCUGCUCUGCCAUCCUUCCCGCUAGUGGAAUGUUAAAAUCCCUACAUCCCCUACAGUGAGAGACGUCACACACCUUACGGUCUGUAAACACCGACACCCCUCACUACAGGAUCGGGUCAGUGUGAGACACACAUCUAGGUUUACAAUAAAGUGUAUUCAUUGCAUUAAUACAUCAUCAGUAAUUUGCUCUUAGCUGAUUGAACUGAAAUAUGUGUGAAAUAAUGAAUCGCUUUUUGAUAAAAACACAGAACCGUGAAGACGUCAUGGUCUGUGGAUGUAGUGAGGAAGAUCCCUGAUCUCCAGAGGUACUGAGGAAAGUAUCCUGUGCACCUUUGCAGACAUCUUUGUACACUCGCAGAGCACAGGACAAUCCUGCGCCAACCCACCCAAUCAGCACGACACCCGACACAUCCAUCUGACACCCUCCCGAUCUCCAUCUCGCAGUCUGACACUCUCAUUCUCCAUCUCGCAAUCUGACACUCUCAUUCUCCAUCUCUGACUCUGACACUCUCGUUCUUCAUCUCUGCCUCAGACACACUGUCAGUCUCUGUCUCCCCCUGAUGCACUCUUUUUUUUCGCCAUCUCACCUGCUGACACACUCUUGUUCUCCAUUUCUCUCUCUGACACAGUCUCAUUUCCAUUUUUCACACCGAGCAAGUCAGUCCAUCUCUAACCACAGAUUACCACAAAGGGAGAGAGGGAGAUUGGGACAGGGCGUCGGAGAACAGGGUGCAGAGACGGUAUAAUGUGUCCUCAGUCUGCAAGGGUUCGAACGGUUGAAAUCCAAGGGACCUUUGACUUUUCUGAAUAUUAUUUGGAAGUGAAGCUGAUGAUUUGCAUUGCUAUUGCUUGUUAUGCUGCUCAAUAAACAUGGAACU